AGGGAAGGCGGGCGGCAGGCCUAACACAUGCAAGUCGAGCGGAUGAAGGGAGCUUGCUCCUGGAUUCAGCGGCGGACGGGUGAGUAAUGCCUAGGAAUCUGCCUGGUAGUGGGGGAUAACGUCCGGAAACGGGCGCUAAUACCGCAUACGUCCUGAGGGAGAAAGUGGGGGAUCUUCGGACCUCACGCUAUCAGAUGAGCCUAGGUCGGAUUAGCUAGUUGGUGGGGUAAAGGCCUACCAAGGCGACGAUCCGUAACUGGUCUGAGAGGAUGAUCAGUCACACUGGAACUGAGACACGGUCCAGACUCCUACGGGAGGCAGCAGUGGGGAAUAUUGGACAAUGGGCGAAAGCCUGAUCCAGCCAUGCCGCGUGUGUGAAGAAGGUCUUCGGAUUGUAAAGCACUUUAAGUUGGGAGGAAGGGCAGUAAGUUAAUACCUUGCUGUUUUGACGUUACCAACAGAAUAAGCACCGGCUAACUUCGUG
This 484-nucleotide ribosomal RNA is filed under the name uncultured bacterium. Its description in RNAcentral is "partial 16S ribosomal RNA". It matches the Rfam family "Bacterial small subunit ribosomal RNA", at positions 31 to 507 of the family's 1533-position model. The record is from RNAcentral.